Molecule: ribosomal RNA, 927 nt
Filed under: uncultured bacterium
Lineage: Bacteria
Description: bacterial SSU rRNA
Rfam family: Bacterial small subunit ribosomal RNA
Source: RNAcentral
AGAGUUUGAUCAUGGCUCAGGACGAACGCUGGCGGCGUGCCUAAUACAUGCAAGUAGAACGCUGAAGAGAGGAGCUUGCUCUUCUUGGAUGAGUUGCGAACGGGUGAGUAACGCGUAGGUAACCNGNCNUGUAGCGGGGGAUAACUAUUGGAAACGAUAGCUAAUACCGCAUAACAAUGGAUGACACAUGUCAUUUAUUUGAAAGGGGCAAUUGCUCCACUACAAGAUGGACNUGCGUUGUAUUAGCUAGUAGGUGAGGUAAUGGCUCACCUAGGCGACGAUACAUAGCCGACCUGAGAGGGUGAUCGGCCACACUGGGACUGAGACACGGCCCAGACUCCUACGGGAGGCAGCAGUAGGGAAUCUUCGGCAAUGGGGGCAACCCUGACCGAGCAACGCCGCGUGAGUGAAGAAGGUUUUCGGAUCGUAAAGCUCUGUUGUAAGUCAAGAACGGGUGUGAGAGUGGAAGGUUCACACUGUGACGGUAGCUUACCAGAAAGGGACGGCUAACUACGUGCCAGCAGCCGCGGUAAUACGUAGGUCCCGAGCGUUGUCCAGAUUUAUUGGGCGUAAAGCGAGCGCAGGCGGUUUGAUAAGUCUGAAGUUAAAGGCUGUGGCUCAACCAUAGUUCGCUUUGGAAACUGUCAAACUUGAGUGCAGAAGGGGAGAGUGGAAUUCCAUGUGUAGCGGUGAAAUGCGUAGAUAUAUGGAGGAACACCGGUGGCGAAAGCGGCUCUCUGGUCUGUAACUGACGCUGAGGCUCGAAAGCGUGGGGAGCGAACAGGAUUAGAUACCCUGGUAGUCCACGCCGUAAACGAUGAGUGCUAGGUGUUGGAUCCUUUCCGGGAUUCAGUGCCGCAGCUAACGCAUUAAGCACUCCGCCUGGGGAGUACGACCGCAAGGUUGAAACUCAAAGGAAUUGACGGG